GCAGGCGUGGCCAAGCGGCUAAGGCGUUCGGCUGCAACCCGGAUAUUCGCAGGUUCGAGUCCUGCCGCCUGCU
Molecule: transfer RNA, 73 nt
Filed under: Nanobdellota archaeon
Lineage: Archaea; Nanobdellati; Nanobdellota
Description: tRNA-Cys
Rfam family: tRNA
About the family: Transfer RNA (tRNA) molecules are approximately 80 nucleotides in length. Their secondary structure includes four short double-helical elements and three loops (D, anti-codon, and T loops).
Source: RNAcentral